This is a long non-coding RNA of Myotis davidii, 575 nucleotides long. RefSeq lists it as uncharacterized. NCBI's taxonomy places the organism in Eukaryota, Metazoa, Chordata, Mammalia, Chiroptera, Vespertilionidae. The transcript is spliced from 2 exons. The record is from RefSeq and is a predicted model, not a curated record.
CCUCCCCAGCCCUGUCCUGCAGUCUCAGGUUCCUGGGGAUUCCCAGAGACCAGGAAGUCGGCUGCUCCUCUCUGUGUUCUCGUCCUGGCCCAGUGCAUGUAGGGCUGUGGUAUUGCUCCUCGCCACUGCCUGAAGGCUCAGCUCAAGAGAACCCUCCCCAGGCCCUCCAGCCAGUUGCUGUGCUCUCUGCUCCCAUGGCACUUUGGGUCCCUCUGUGUCACACUGAGCAUGUUAGGGUGAAAGGAGCUGUUCCUGGGGUUCCACGGGAACCAUGUAAGCUCUUGGGGAGCCGAGACUGUGCCUCACUUUCCUAUCCCGUGACCAGCUCCGUGCCGGCUCACAGCAUGAACUCAGCCAGUGUGAAGCCGAAUCCGCGGGCUCUGAGAGGGCUUUCACCUAAUCCAGGCCACACUCAUAUCCAGCCUGGACCACAGCAAUGCAUCUACUCUUCUCCAUCAGUCAGUUCUCCCCACGGGAAGCAAAGUGACCUUUUCCAAAUGAAAAUCUGAUUGUGGCAUCCCCCUGCUUAAGUCAGAACUCUACCCAUUAUUCUUGGAAUAAAAACCAGAAAGCUC